Amaranthus tricolor (Joseph's coat) is the source of this 511-nucleotide long non-coding RNA. RefSeq lists it as uncharacterized. The record is from RefSeq and is a predicted model, not a curated record. The transcript has 3 exons. Lineage: Eukaryota; Viridiplantae; Streptophyta; Magnoliopsida; Caryophyllales; Amaranthaceae.
ACUACUCUUUCUUUAUACCAUUAUCAUCUUCUUCAUAACAUCUCAAAGAAACACAAAUCUGAGAUUAAUUUCUACCUUUAUCUCUUCACAAAGUAGAACAAAAAUCUAAAAUUUUACCUACCUUUAUCUUCUCAAAGUAUUGGUCUAUUGUAGAAGAAGGAGGACACAUCUAAUUAUCACCAUCUCCAUCUCUUUUUGAAUUAGAAUCAUUGAUCGGAAAAAAAUUCGCACCCACAUGAUCAACAAAGACUGCAACUACACCGAAGUUGUUGAAGAAUUGAGAAGGCUAUCCGAGAUUAAGUAGUCGAACUAUGUAAUUUUCAUUAUUAUUUGGACUAAUCAUGUAAUGUAUUUGUAGGACGUAUGCAUUUUCGGUUAUGAACCCGAUCUAUGUAAUUUUCGUUAUGAAUUGAAAAAACUUAAAGACUUUUGGAGGUGAAAAAUAUUCACAAUUUGUAAAAACACAUGAGUAUCUUCAAAUUUGGAGGGAAUCAUUAAUCUCUUAAUCAAU